This 322-nucleotide ribosomal RNA is filed under the name uncultured eukaryote. Its description in RNAcentral is "partial 18S ribosomal RNA". It matches the Rfam family "Eukaryotic small subunit ribosomal RNA", at positions 1470 to 1796 of the family's 1831-position model. The record is from RNAcentral.
CCCUUAGAUGUUCUGGGCCGCACGCGUGCUACACUGAGUGGAUCAGCGGGUCAGGUUGCGCGAAAGUGUUUCCUAAUCUUGAAAUCCGCUCGUGAUGGGGAUUGACGGUUGCAAUUUUCCGUCAUGAACGAGGAAUACCUUGUAAGCGCGGGUCAUCAUCCCGCGCUGAAUACGUCCCUGCCCUUUGUACACACCGCCCGUCGCUCCUACCGAUUGAGUGGUCCGGUGAGGCUUUGGGAUCUGAGCGGAAAGAGCGCUUCGCUGCUUCUGCUCGGAAAACUCAGUCGAACCUUAUCAUUUAGAGGAAGGAGAAGUCGUAACA